RNAcentral lists this transfer RNA (65 nucleotides) under Mordellidae sp. GENSP01. RNAcentral describes it as "tRNA-Ile". Lineage: Eukaryota; Metazoa; Arthropoda; Insecta; Coleoptera; Mordellidae. The record is from RNAcentral.
AAUGAAGUGCCUGAAACUAAAGGAUUAUCUUGAUAGGAUAAAUUAUGUGUAUUACACCUUCAUUG